CACACUACUUACUGUAAGUUGCUCUGGAUAAGAGCAUCUGCUAAAUCACUGAAA
Non-coding RNA from Salmo salar (Atlantic salmon), 54 nucleotides. The record is from Rfam. Lineage: Eukaryota; Metazoa; Chordata; Actinopteri; Salmoniformes; Salmonidae.